RNAcentral lists this ribosomal RNA (252 nucleotides) under uncultured bacterium. RNAcentral's name for it is "partial 16S ribosomal RNA". It matches the Rfam family "Bacterial small subunit ribosomal RNA", at positions 524 to 776 of the family's 1533-position model. The record is from RNAcentral.
UACGUAGGGUGCGAGCGUUGUCCGGAAUUAUUGGGCGUAAAGGGCUCGUAGGCGGUCUGUCACGUCGGGAGUGAAAACACGGGGCUUAACCCCGUGCCUGCUUCCGAUACGGGCAGACUAGAGGUAUGCAGGGGAGAACGGAAUUCCUGGUGUAGCGGUGAAAUGCGCAGAUAUCAGGAGGAACACCGGUGGCGAAGGCGGUUCUCUGGGCAUUACCUGACGCUGAGGAGCGAAAGUGUGGGAGCGAACAGG